Molecule: non-coding RNA, 6655 nt
Organism: Callithrix jacchus (white-tufted-ear marmoset)
Lineage: Eukaryota; Metazoa; Chordata; Mammalia; Primates; Cebidae
Source: RefSeq, a predicted model, not a curated record
UGAGAUGGUGUGAGGUGGGUGGCGUGGGUGAGACUAAAAAAAAAAGCAUUGGGAGAGGCAGAAGCCUCUUACCAGUGGCUCUGAGCUGGUUCUGCUGGGCGAGCUCGCCCUCAUGCUGAGGGAGCCGCUGGGCCCACAUGGCCUUCGCUACAGUGUGGCUGAGCCCUGCAGAGCUCUGUGACCUCGGAGACACUCCAUCCUGCCCAGAGCACAGUGUGGCCAGAUGUUCCCAGGUGGAAUGGGUCUGGCAGAACCUUCAGCUGCCAGGGAGUGAAAUCCAGCAGGAGGCCCUGCACCCUCAAUGUCAGGAGUGGGGUGCUGCUGGCUGUUUGGGGGUCUGCUCAACUGUGGGUGUUGCUGAGUUUCCUGAGCAUUUCUCUUCCCCGCACAUGGGUUUCUGUCUUCACUGCCCUGGGUUCCUUAGAGUUAGAGACUGACGGGAGGACAGCAGGAUGGCUGGCGGCGUGGUCAGGGCAUGUGUGCGCUCCCAUGGUGGCUGUGCCAGCCCACUGGAGGGGAGCUGUGCUGGGGGGAGUCCCAGGGAAGCCGCGUCUGCCGGCCGAGCUGCCGCUGGGCUGAGGGCCUGGGGACGAGGCCCCCGGCUUUGCUGGAGGAGCCUGCUAUCCGCUUGGCAACUGUUUGCUGAGCAUUGAAGCCCUGGUCCUUCCAAGAUGCCAGGCCACUGUGCCUGUUUUCACACCCUUUGCUUUUGCUCUUUGUCCAUACACAAAUGCUGUUUCCACUUCCUCCCUCCUAUCUGCAUAGAAAAAGUAGUGCCUUUAUGCCUGAGUAGAAAGUGGCUCAUUUUGAAUCAGGGCUGUGUGCUGAGGGGGGCUUGGCUUGGUGUUGCUUUGAGACCUGAAGGAGGAACACAAGGGGUGCCUGAGGAAGGUGCACUUGGGGCCUGCAGGGAGAGGCCAGUGCAGCCCUGAAGCCAACUCGUGGGCCCACAGCCUCCCCGGGUCCCUGGAGACGGACUUUCAGCCAGCACACUGGUCCACCAUGCUCCCUCCUCCUGCAGCCGCGGCUCACAGGCUGUCUCUGAGCUGAGGGGAGGCCAGUGUCUGCCAGAAGCCACUUCCUGGGAGUUCUUCCACCAAUACUGGUUCCCAUGGCAAUUCGAGGGAAGCAGGAGGGGCAGAGGAGCAGACGGCACUGAGCGCGAGCGCGGAGAUGGUGCAGAGCACUAGCGUGGAGAUGGUGCAGAGCAUGACGGCGGCUGGGCACCCGCCUCCUGCAGCAGCUCCCACCCCUUCGGUGGCCCAGCCACUGCCCUGGGUCCCUGGAGGUCGGCCCAGGAGUCCUGCCCUGCAGCUGCAUCGGUCACAAGUCUGGCCCAUCUCAGGCAGAACACGAGGUUUUGCCUGCUCUGCCAUGUGGAUGGGCCCCUUGGCCAAGCUCAGGUCUUGAGGCAUGAAUUGUCCAAAUGUUAGGACUUGAGAGACUCUGAAAGGCUCAAUUAUUUGAAAAAUUAUUUUGCAGCAGCCCGUUGGCAUUGGAAACUCUCUCCUGACUGUCUCCCUGUGCUUUGGGGACUAUACAGGGCUAGACAACAGCUGCAGUGCGUGGCAGGAACCCCUCGUUGGCAGGUGAUGGCCCCUGAGAGUACACAGGUCAUCAGACUAGCACAGCGUUAGCUUGGUGAGCCCAGGGACGUGGGAGAGGCGGCUCUCAGUUGGAAGGCAGAGGAGGGUCAGUGAAGGCUGAGGACCAAGAGUUGCCUGGGAUGGGUGGGGUGGGUCCCUGAGCAUUUGGGACCAGCACGAGCAUUUUCAGCACUUGGGAAAGAGUCACUCAGAAACUCAUCUGUGGGACGUUUGUCACAGGCAGGUCUUACCUGGUUGGUAAGACCACCGCUGGGCUCUCAGGCCUUGCAUCUCACUCUCUGCACUUUUCUUUCAAGUGUGGGAACGCCAAAGCUCUGAGGGCCCAUUCCUGAAAGUUUACCUGCUGAUUCACAUGGAAGGCUGGCCUCCGAGUCCACUGGCCCUGCCAUCUUUCUUAACAAGGAGGGCACUGCACACCAGCAGGCUCCGACUUAUCACCCAGGAUGGCAUUCUAGGAGUUAAAUUCCACCCUGAGCACCUCCGUCACCUCCACAGCAUUGAAAUCCCACUGUGAGCACCUCUGUCACCUCCACAGCAUUGAAAUCCCACCGUGAGCACCUCUGUCACCUCCACAGCAUUGAAAUCCCACUGUGAGCACCUCCGUCACCUCCACAGCAUUGAAAUCCCACCGUGAGCACCUCUGUCACCUCCACAGCAGUUAAAUCCCACCGUGAGCACCUCCGUCACCUCCACAGCAGUUAAAUCCCACCGUGAGCACCUCCAUCACCUCCACAGCAUUGAAAUCCCACCGUGAGCACCUCCAUCACCUCCACAGCAUUGAAAUCCCACCGUGAGCACCUCCGUCACCUCCACAGCAGUUAAAUCCCACCCUGAGCACCUCCAUCACCUCCACAGCAUUGAAAUGCCACCGUGAGCACCUCCAUCACCUCCAUAGCAGUUAAAUCCCACCGUGAGCACCUCCAUCACCUCCACAGCAGUUAAAUCCCACCGUGAGCACCUCCAUCACCUCCACAGCAGUUAAAUCCCACCGUGAGCACCUUCAUCACCUCCAUAGCAGUUAAAUCCCACCGUGAGCACCUCCAUCACCUCCACAGCAGUUAAAUCCCACCGUGAGCACCUCCAUCACCUCCACAGCAGUUAAAUCCCACCGUGAGCACCUCCGUCACCUCCACAGCAUUGAAAUCCCACUGUGAGCACCUCUGUCACCUCCACAGCAUUGAAAUCCCACCGUGAGCACCUCUGUCACCUCCACAGCAUUGAAAUCCCACUGUGAGCACCUCUGUCACCUCCACAGCAGUUAAAUCCCACCGUGAGCACCUCCGUCACCUCCACAGCAGUUAAAUCCCACCCUGAGCACCUCCAUCACCUCCACAGCAUUGAAAUGCCACCGUGAGCACCUUCAUCACCUCCAUAGCAGUUAAAUCCCACCGUGAGCACCUCCAUCACCUCGACAGCAGUUAAAUCCCACCGUGAGCACCUCCAUCACCUCCACAGCAGUUAAAUUCCACCCUGAGCACCUCCAUCACCUCCACAGCAUUGAAAUGCCACCGUGAGCACCUCCAUCACCUCCAUAGCAGUUAAAUUCCACCGUGAGCACCUCCAUCACCUCCACAGCAGUUAAAUUCCACCGUGAGCACCUCUGUCACCUCCACAGCAGUUAAAUCCCACCGUGAGCACCUCCAUCACCUCCACAGCAGUUAAAUCCCACCGUGAGCACCUCCAUCACCUCCACAGCAUUGAAAUGCCACCGUGAGCACCUCCAUCACCUCCACAGCAGUUAAAUUCCACCGUGAGCACCUCUGUCACCUCCACAGCAGUUAAAUCCCACCGUGAGCACCUCCAUCACCUCCACAGCAGUUAAAUCCCACCGUGAGCACCUCCGUCACUUCCACAGCAGUUAAAUCCGCCGUUAGCACCUCCAUCACCUCCACAGCAGCUAAAUCCCACCGUGAGCACCUCCAUCACCUCCACAGCAGUUAAAUCCCACCGUGAGCACCUCCAUCACCUCCACAGCAGUUGGCUGCUUACCUAGUGAAGCUGGGGGCUAUGGGAGCAGCUGACUCUCGGCUAGUCCCUGCUUUGCAGUAUUUACUGUGUUGGCCAUAAUGCAGGUCUCCAUCCAUUAGGCACUGAUCUAGGUCAGGUGCCAGCAUCUCCAGCCCCGCCUAGGUGUUCCAUGCUAUUUCAUGGUAGCUGAGGUUGGCAAAAGGGAAAUGAGGAGAACUGGAGCUUGGAGUUCAGAACUGGGCUUCACAGCACCCUCUUGGCUACGUGCUUGUUUUGUAACUUUGGACGACUGAUUAACUUCUCAAAGCUCAGGAUGCCUUCUCUGUCAGAAGGGGACAAUAGUUAACUCCACGAGGCUGUGUCCGGAUCACAUGAAGUGGGAAUAUUUGGAUGUGAGAGCAGCAUUUAAAGUCUGAGUGGUCAGUAAGUUGCUGGCCGCUCUUGCUCACACAGGAUCUCCGUUGGCUUUGUACGGCCCAGGAAUGCCUGGAGUCAGAAAGCUGCUGUGCCAAACCCUCAUGCAGAAAUCUCUUCUCAGUGGUGUUCUUUACUUGGCUUUGAGCGGACAGGAGGGUUUCAUGGGGUUAGAAGCAUAGCAGCCAUCGCGGGUAAAGAACAGAGGCGAUGGGCAUGGCUCAUGCCUGUCAUCCCAGCUCUUUGGGAGGCUGGGGCAGGAGGGUCGCUUAAGUCCAGGAGUUUGAGACCAGGCUGGGCAACAUAGUGAGACCCCAUCUCCACAGAAAAAUUAAAAACCUUAGCCAGGUGUGGAGGUGCACCUGUAGUCCCACACAGCAGGCUGAGGUGGGGGGAUCUCUUGAGCCCAGGAGUUCCAGGCUGCAGUCGCCUGUGACCAUGCUUCUGCACUCCAGCUUGGGUGAUGGAGUGAGACCCCAUCUCUAAACAGUUUUUUAAAUAAAAGAGUGGGGAGGAUCUUGAGCUGGUAAGAUCACAACAUCAGGCCCUAAGACACCGCCUUGCAGUACUGCCACUCCUCACUGGCCUGUCUCCCGAGUCAAGACAAGGCCGCCUCACUAAUCAGAUACGAUGAUUCAUAUCACGCAAAGCCCACGGCUUACGGAGAGCACGUGAAGGCAGGGUCGGCGGCUGGGUUACCACAUCCUCUGGCAGGCAGCCUGGGAAGGGAGGUUUGAAUCUGUGUUGAUGUUUUAGCACUGAUUAAAGGUGCAUGUACAAUUUUACCUUUCAAAUUUAAAGACAGUUUGCACUCUAUCAACACCUUGUCUUAUUACACUUGCCAACCACGAGAAAGCAAGUUAAGAAGGAGAAGUCGUCGCAAAAGUCAUUACACAGUUUCCUCACGUGGUAUAAAGUGGUACAAAUAGAAAGUCCCAUCAGCUUCACAACCUUUGACUGACCAAAUGGCAUCCCCCAACUAAUGCUGCUGGCAGGAGCUUCAGCUGCCUCUGGCCUAAUGACGUCUGCCUUUCUAGUGAGAACGUAGCUGGUGUAGAUAUCUCAGUUUCACAGCGAUGAUUUGGGCCGAGCGCUCAUGUCAAAUAGGCACCUCGUUCCAGUGGUUUGUGGGGUUUGACGAUGCAUUUUUAAAAUGAAGCCGUGCCAGCGCCAGCCUGUGCUUCCCCACAGACAUUGCUGCUGUUCUGGUCGUCCUGGCGUGGGAGCUGUCCUGGCAUGGGAGCUGCCCUGGCGUGGGAGCUGUCCUGGCGUGGGAGCUGUCCUGGCGUGGGAGGUGUCCUGGCGUGGGAGCUGUCCUGGCGUGGGAGGUGUCCUGGUGGGAGAGCUGCUCUGGCGUGGGAGCUGUCCUGGUGUGGGAGCUGUCCUGGCGUGGGAGCUGUCCUGGUGGGAGAGCUGCCCUGGGGUGGGAGCUGUCCUGGCGUGGGAGCUGUCCUGGCGUGGGAGGUGUCCUGGUGGGAGAGCUGCCCUGGCGUGGGAGCUGUCCUGGUGGGAGAGCUGCCCUGGUGUGGGAGCUGUCCUGGCGUGGGAGCUGUCCUGGCAUGGGAGCUGUCCUGGCGUGGGAGGUGUCCUGGCGUGGGAGCUGUCCUGGCGUGGGAGGUGUCCUGGCGUGGGAGCUUCCCUGGCGUAGGAGCUGUCCUGGUGUGGAAGGUGUCCUGGCGUGGGAGCUGUCCUGGCGUGGAAUGUGUCCUGGCGUGGGAGCUGCCCUGGCAUGGGAGCUGCCCUGGCAUGGGAGCUGUCCUGGCGUGGGAGCUGCCCUGGCAUGGGAGGGGUGGCAGAGGUGCUGGGCCUGGGCCUCCUGUGCUUUGCACCGUACCUUGGCUGCCAUGAGCAUGAGCACCCCAUGGGGAGAGUGAGCUCAGCGCCCAGUGGGCCUCAUGGCACAGUCACUGAUAUUAUGUCGUGGCUUUCUCCUUCAUGUUGAAGGAGUGAUGGGGACAGUGAGGGAUGGAGUCCCCACACUCCAGCCUGCCCUGCUCAGUCACAGGCUCUGGCACGGGCCACUCUCCCCCAGGGACUGGACAGCCUGGGCGUCCACCCUGGCCCCCAGCUCUCCUCCAGCCCAGGGUGCCUGCCUUCCUCCCUCCUUUCCCCAUACCUAAGGGAGACCUGUGGGGAUCGCUCCUGUGUGAGGCCCCUAGGAAAUGGGCCUCGCCAUACGGUGAGCUUGAGCCCAGACACAGAUCCCCAGUUGGGGGAGUCGAGCUGAGGGAAAGCAGGAACCAAGAGAGGGACUAUGUUAUUCUAAAUAAUUAACAGACAUUACUUUAUGGAUAUGAGGACUUGGGAGGCAUUGUGUCUACUUUCGGCUUGUUAUGGUUUAUUUCUUGAUUGUGUUCAUUUUGGACCUGUGUUACUUACUUACCGUAACUUACAGGGCGUAACUGUAACUUACUUACCAUGGCUUACAGGGCGUGACUGUAAUCUACUUACCUUGACCUGUUGGGCGUAACCUACUUACUGGAAGUAACCUACUUACUGUGCUUAACUUACUUACUGUGCUUAACUUACUUACUGGGGGUAACUUGCUUACUGUAACUUAAGUACGUUAAUCUGGUGUAAACAACUUUAACUUCAGAAAAGUAUAUAAUGAAACACAUUGCAGAAAUAAAAUUGCUGCAUGAGCAUAGCGCAUGUAGCCCUCCAGA